RNAcentral lists this ribosomal RNA (776 nucleotides) under Bacillaceae bacterium GUDS1185. RNAcentral describes it as "bacterial SSU rRNA". It matches the Rfam family "Bacterial small subunit ribosomal RNA", at positions 64 to 818 of the family's 1533-position model. The record is from RNAcentral. Lineage: Bacteria; Bacillati; Bacillota; Bacilli; Caryophanales; Bacillaceae.
GAACCAGAUGACCCCUUCGGGGUGAUUCUGGUGGAAUGAGCGGCGGACGGGUGAGUAACACGUGGGCAACCUGCCUGUAAGACUGGGAUAACUUCGGGAAACCGGAGCUAAUACCGGAUAGUAUUUCCUUUCUCCUGAUUGGAAAUGGAAAGACGGUUUCGGCUGUCACUUACAGAUGGGCCCGCGGUGCAUUAGCUAGUUGGUGGGGUAAUGGCCCACCAAGGCGACGAUGCAUAGCCGACCUGAGAGGGUGAUCGGCCACACUGGGACUGAGACACGGCCCAGACUCCUACGGGAGGCAGCAGUAGGGAAUCUUCCGCAAUGGACGAAAGUCUGACGGAGCAACGCCGCGUGAGCGAUGAAGGCCUUCGGGUCGUAAAGCUCUGUUGUUAGGGAAGAACAAGUACGAGAGUAACUGCUCGUACCUUGACGGUACCUAACCAGAAAGCCCCGGCUAACUACGUGCCAGCAGCCGCGGUAAUACGUAGGGGGCAAGCGUUGUCCGGAAUUAUUGGGCGUAAAGGGCUCGUAGGCGGUUUCUUAAGUCUGAUGUGAAAGCCCACAGCUCAACUGUGGAGGGUCAUUGGAAACUGGGGAACUUGAGUGCAGAAGAGGAGAGUGGAAUUCCACGUGUAGCGGUGAAAUGCGUAGAUAUGUGGAGGAACACCAGUGGCGAAGGCGACUCUCUGGUCUGUAACUGACGCUGAGGAGCGAAAGCGUGGGGAGCAAACAGGAUUAGAUACCCUGGUAGUCCACGCCGUAAACGAUGAGUGCUA